This is an RNA transcript of Ahaetulla prasina, 1659 nucleotides long. It is a transcript of the gene named serine and arginine rich splicing factor 3, with no coding region annotated. The transcript is spliced from 6 exons. The record is from RefSeq and is a predicted model, not a curated record. Lineage: Eukaryota; Metazoa; Chordata; Lepidosauria; Squamata; Colubridae.
CCGCCAUUUUGUCCAGUGGGGGAGAAGCAAAAGAGACAGCGGAGUCGAGUCUUGGCGGGAAAGCAAGCGACUCCGACCGCGCUCACGGGGCUGCCGGACGAAGUAGAAGAGGCGAAGAAGGAAAAGACUGGAAGCCGCUCGCGGGAGUCUUUUACACUCCUGGUUAGGGAACCGAGAUGCAUCGCGAUUCGUGUCCACUGGACUGCAAGGUUUAUGUAGGAAACCUUGGGAAUAAUGGCAACAAAACUGAAUUGGAACGAGCUUUUGGCUACUAUGGACCGCUGCGGAGCGUCUGGGUUGCUCGAAAUCCCCCUGGUUUUGCUUUUGUUGAAUUUGAAGAUCCACGGGAUGCUGCCGAUGCAGUGAGAGAACUAGAUGGGAGAACAUUGUGUGGCUGUCGGGUCAGGGUGGAGCUGUCCAAUGGUGAAAAACGCAGUCGGAACCGUGGCCCACCUCCCUCAUGGGGUAGACGACCUCGAGAUGACUAUCGCAGGAGAAGUCCUCCACCUCGCCGCAGAUCUCCACGGAGGAGGAGUUUUUCCCGUAGUCGUAGCAGAACGAGUCCCCAACCCCUGGUCUGUGGACUGACACCUGGACACGGCAUGCCAGAAACUGGCCGUGUAAACAAGCAAAGCCCCUUUUGCGGGAUGCAGGCGAUGUGCAAAACCACGCCCCCUCUGAUCCAUGGAAAAACCUCUCCACAGAAUUGGUCCCUGGUGCUCAAAAGGUGGGGUGGGGGAUGCUGUUCUUAAACCUGAUUUUUGAUGCAGCUAACUUUAUGAUACUAUUUCCUUUACAGGUCCCUUUCUAGAGAUAGAAGGAGAGAGAGAUCACUCUCAAGGGAGAGAAAUCAUAAGCCUUCCCGUUCAUUUUCCAGAUCUCGUAGCCGUUCCAGGUCAAAUGACAGGAAAUAGAACUUCAGGAAGAAUGAUGUACAGGAAGUCACAUUUUGGUCUGAAGACAGUAUGUACAGAACAUUGUUUUGUUUAAGACCUCAUAAAGCUUGGUGCAUUUUAAAAAUGUUUUAGCUGUCAAAAUUUUGUGUUUUUUUUUUGUAACAGGUGACAUGUAACAGUUGUGAAAAUGUAUAUGGUUUUGAGCAGGUCAUUCAAAGUGUAAUAAAUCUGUUCUACAUUGUACCCUUAAGCAUAAACUAUUUUAAUGUUGGCCAGUUACCUUGCAGAGAUAAACAGAAUAAGAAACCUACAGAAUAAAGAAACCUUAUAGCAGCAAUUAUUCAUAGUCUGCUGGGUCAUCUUUUAGAAUCUGCAAAAGCUAAACUCAAAAAUAAAUUAACACAUAGACUUGUAAAUCAUGAAUAUUUUCUAUAAUUGUGAACGGACAAUCUCUGCAGUAUGAAAUGUGGAGGCUUAAUUGGCCAAAUAAACUAAUGGCAAACAAGACUGAAAACUUGUAGCUAGCCUUUUUUCUAAACCUGUCUUGACUUGUGAUUUAUGCCAAAAUUCCCAUUAUUGUGCAAAAUUCCAAUUAAAUAUUACACCUUUUUCUGUAGAGCACUACUAAAACAGAGCAGAUUAACUGUUGAUUUGGAUAAGUACAUAUGUAUAAGGGUACAUUGUAGAUAGAAAUUUUCCUCAUUGUGCAUAAGUUGUCUUGUCACUGUAAACUCUGAGAUUAAAGUUUUUGUUACAAAUCGUU